AACGCACGAGACCUGCGGACCUGCGGAAGGAUCAUUAAUGAGAAGCUGCCCCUCGUGGGUAGACCUCCCACCCUCUGUGAACUUACCUUUGUUGCUUUGGCAGGCCCGUCCUCUGGACCGCCGGCUUCGGCUGGCCCGUGCCUGCCAGAGGACUCCAAACCCUGUCUGUCAGUGUUGUCUGAGUCUAUAUGAAAUCGUUAAAACUUUUAACAAUGGAUCUCUAGAUCGGAAGAGCACACG
This 240-nucleotide unclassified non-coding RNA is filed under the name soil metagenome. RNAcentral describes it as "partial contains 5.8S ribosomal RNA, internal transcribed spacer 2, and large subunit ribosomal RNA". The record is from RNAcentral.